AACCUACGGGGGGCAGCAGUGGGGAAUAUUGCACAAUGGGGGGAACCCUGAUGCAGCGACGCCGCGUGGGCGAUGGAGUAUUUCGGUAUGUAAAGCCCUAUCGGCAGGGAAGAAGCUGACAGUACCUGACUAAGAAGCCCCGGCUAACUACGUGCCAGCAGCCGCGGGAAUACGUAGGGGGCAAGCGUUAUCCGGAUUUACUGGGGGUAAAGGGAGCGUAGACGGCUGUGCAAGUCUGAAGUGAAAUGCCGGGGCCCAACCCCGGAACUGCUUUGGAAACUGUACAGCUAGAGUGCAGGGGGGGG
Molecule: ribosomal RNA, 305 nt
Filed under: uncultured bacterium
Lineage: Bacteria
Description: partial 16S ribosomal RNA
Rfam family: Bacterial small subunit ribosomal RNA
Source: RNAcentral